Molecule: unclassified non-coding RNA, 336 nt
Filed under: soil metagenome
Description: partial contains 5.8S ribosomal RNA, internal transcribed spacer 2, and large subunit ribosomal RNA
Rfam family: 5.8S ribosomal RNA (bases 1-120)
Source: RNAcentral
GAUGAAGAACGUAGCGAAAUGCGAUAAGUAAUGUGAAUUGCAGAAUUCAGUGAAUCAUCGAAUCUUUGAACGCACAUUGUGCCCGCCAGUAUUCUGGCGGGCAUGCCUGUUCGAGCGUCAUUUCAACCAUCAAGCCCCAGGCUUGUGUUGGGGACCUGCGGCUGCCGCAGGCCCUGAAAACCAGUGGCGGGCUCGCUGUCACACCGGGCGUAGUAGAUUUUAUCUCGCUCUGGGCGUGCUGCGGGUUCCGGCCGUUAAAAAACCCUUUUAACCCAAGGUUGACCUCGGAUCAGGUAGGAAUACCCGCUGAACUUAAGCAUAUCAAUAAGCGGAGGA